GUGUUAGCAGCCGCGGUAAUACGUAGGGAGCGAGCGUUGUCCGGAUUUACUGGGUGUAAAGGGUGCGUAGGCGGCUCUGCAAGUCAGGCGUGAAAUACAUGGGCUUAACCCAUGGACUGCGUUUGAAACUGUGGAGCUUGAGUGAAGUAGAGGUAGGCGGAAUUCCCGGUGUAGCGGUGAAAUGCGUAGAGAUCGGGAGGAACACCAGUGGCGAAGGCGGCCUACUGGGCUUUAACUGACGCUGAAGCACGAAAGCAUGGGUAGCAAACAGGAUUAGAUGCCCUGGUAGUCCAUGCCGUAAACGAUGAUUACUAGGUGUGGGGGGUCUGACCCCUUCCGUGCCGGAGUUAACACAAUAAGUAAUCCACCUGGGGAGUACGGCCGCCAGGUUGAAACUUAAAUGAAUUGGCGG
This 412-nucleotide ribosomal RNA is filed under the name uncultured bacterium. RNAcentral's name for it is "bacterial SSU rRNA". It matches the Rfam family "Bacterial small subunit ribosomal RNA", at positions 505 to 916 of the family's 1533-position model. The record is from RNAcentral.